AACAGAGGGUUCGAUCCUGGCUCAGAUUGAACGCUGGCGGAAUACUUUACACAUGCAAGUCGAACGGCAGCAGACUUCGGUCUGGUGGCGAGUGGCGAACGGGUGAGUAAUGUAUCGGAACGUGCCUAGUAGCGGGGGAUAACUACGCGAAAGCGUAGCUAAUACGCCGCCCUUCGGGGAAAAGCAGGGGACCUUCGGGCCUCGCACUAUUAGAGCAGCCGAUAUCGGAUUAGCUAGUUGGUGGGGUAACGGCUCACCAAGGCGACGAUCCGUAGCUGGUUUGAGAGGACGACCAGCCACACUGGGACUGAGACACGGCCCAGACUCCUGCGGGAGGCAGCAGUGAGGGAAUUUACGGACAAUGGAAACCUGAUCCAUGCAUCCCGCGUGUGCGAUGAAGGCCUUCGGGUUGUAAAGCACUUUUGGCAGGAAAGAAACGGCACGGGAUAAUACCCCGUGCACAGCUGACAGUACCUGCAGAAUAAGCACCGGCUAACUACGUGCCAGCAGCCGCGGUAAUACGUGGUGCAAGCGUUAAUCGGAAUUACUGGGCGUAAAGCGUGCGCAGGCGGUUCGGAAAGAAAGAUGUGAAAUCCCAGAGCUUAACUUUGGAACUGCAUUUUUAACUACCGAGCUAGAGUGUCAGAGAGUGGAAUUCCGGCGAUGUGAUGAAAUGCGUAGAUAUGCGGAGGAACACCCGUGUGAAAGGCAACCUCCUGGGAUAACACUGACGCUCAUGCACGAAAGCGUGGGGAGCAAACAGGAUUAGAUACCCUGGUAGUCCACGCCCUAAACGAUGUCAACUAGCUGUUGGGGCCUUCGGGCCUUGGUAGCGCAACUAACGCGUGAAGUUGACCGCCUGGGAAGUACGGUCGCAAGAUUAAAACUCAAGGUGUGACGGGGACCACAAGCGGUGGAUGAUGUGGAUUAAUUCGAUGCAACGCGAAAAACCUUACCUACCCUUGACAUGUCUGGAAUCCCGAAGAGAUUUAGAAGUGCUCGCAGAGAACCGGAACACAGGUGCUGCAUGGCUGUAGUGUCAGCUCGUGUCGUGAGAUGUUGGGUUAAGUCCCGCAACGAGGCGCAACCCUUGUCAUUGGAUUGCUACGAAAGGGCACUCUAAUGAGACUGCCGGUGACAAACCGGAGGAAGGUGAGGAUGACGUCAAGUCCUCAUGGCCCAUAUGGGUAGGGCUUCACACGUCAUACAAUGGUCAGGACAGAGGGUCGCCAACCCGCGAGGAAGACCCAAUCCCAGAAACCCGAUCGUAGUCCGGAUCGCAGUCUGCAACUCGACUGCGUGAAGUCGGAAUCGCUAGUAAUCGCGGAUCAGCAUGUCGCGGUGAAUACGUUCCCGGGUCUUGUACACACCGCCCGUCACACCAUGGGAGUGGGUUUUACCAGAAGUAAUUAGCCUAACCGUAAGGAGGGCGAUUACCACAGUAGGAUUCAUGACUGGGGGUGAAGUCGUAACUAAAGGUAG
RNAcentral lists this ribosomal RNA (1482 nucleotides) under uncultured Bordetella sp. RNAcentral describes it as "partial 16S-23S ribosomal RNA intergenic spacer". It matches the Rfam family "Bacterial small subunit ribosomal RNA". The record is from RNAcentral. Lineage: Bacteria; Pseudomonadati; Pseudomonadota; Betaproteobacteria; Burkholderiales; Alcaligenaceae.